AAAAAUAUUGAAAUUCAAUUUAUCUUAAAUAAGAAGCAAUUUGCAUUUAGUUUCGACCUAAAAGAUAGAGUUUAUUUUACUCCUUAUUUA
RNAcentral lists this transfer RNA (90 nucleotides) under Junonia zonalis. RNAcentral's name for it is "tRNA-Arg". Lineage: Eukaryota; Metazoa; Arthropoda; Insecta; Lepidoptera; Nymphalidae. The record is from RNAcentral.